GUCCCCGUAGCUCAGCGGAUAGAGCGUUGGCCUCCGGAGCCAGAAGCGUGGGUUCGAUUCCCGCCGGGGACGCCU
RNAcentral lists this transfer RNA (75 nucleotides) under Chloroflexi bacterium CFX4. RNAcentral's name for it is "tRNA-Arg". It matches the Rfam family "tRNA". Rfam says of the family: Transfer RNA (tRNA) molecules are approximately 80 nucleotides in length. Their secondary structure includes four short double-helical elements and three loops (D, anti-codon, and T loops). Lineage: Bacteria; Bacillati; Chloroflexota. The record is from RNAcentral. RNAcentral also lists the same sequence under 1 other name.